AGUGAACGCUGGCGGUAGGCCUAACACAUGCAAGUCGAACGGCAGCACAGUAAGAGCUUGCUCUUACGGGUGGCGAGUGGCGGACGGGUGAGGAAUACAUCGGAAUCUACUUUUUCGUGGGGGAUAACGUAGGGAAACUUACGCUAAUACCGCAUACGACCUACGGGUGAAAGCAGGGGAUCUUCGGACCUUGCGCGAUUGAAUGAGCCGAUGUCGGAUUAGCUAGUUGGCGGGGUAAAGGCCCACCAAGGCGACGAUCCGUAGCUGGUCUGAGAGGAUGAUAGGCCACACUGGAACUGGGACACGGCCCAAACCCCUACGGGGGGCAGAAGUGGGAAUAUUGGACAAUGGGCGCAAGCCUGAUCCAGCCAUACCGCGUGGGUGAAGAAGGCCUUCGGGUUGUAAAGCCCUUUUGUUGGGAAAGAAAGGCAGCAGGUUAAUACCCCGCUGUUCUGACGGUACCCAAAGAAUAAGCACCGGCUAACUUCGUG
RNAcentral lists this ribosomal RNA (491 nucleotides) under uncultured bacterium. RNAcentral describes it as "partial 16S ribosomal RNA". It matches the Rfam family "Bacterial small subunit ribosomal RNA", at positions 29 to 507 of the family's 1533-position model. The record is from RNAcentral.